UGGGGAAUCUUGCACAAUGGGCGAAAGCCUGAUGCAGCGACGCCGCGUGCGGGAUGAAGGCCUUCGGGUUGUAAACCGCUUUCAGCAGGGACGAGGCCGCAAGGUGACGGUACCUGCAGAAGAAGCCCCGGCUAACUACGUGCCAGCAGCCGCGGUAAUACGUAGGGGGCUAGCGUUGUCCGGAAUCACUGGGCGUAAAGGGUUCGCAGGCGGAAAUGCAAGUCAGGUGUAAAAGGCAGUAGCUUAACUACUGUAAGCAUUUGAAACUGCAUAUCUUGAGAAGAGUAGAGGUAAGUGGAAUUUUUAGUGUAGCGGUGAAAUGCGUAGAUAUUAAAAAGAAUACCGGUGGCGAAGGCGACUUACUGGGCUCAUUCUGACGCUGAGGAACGAAAGCGUGGGUAGCAAACAGG
Molecule: ribosomal RNA, 410 nt
Filed under: Verrucomicrobiota bacterium
Lineage: Bacteria; Pseudomonadati; Verrucomicrobiota
Description: Verrucomicrobia bacterium partial 16S ribosomal RNA
Rfam family: Bacterial small subunit ribosomal RNA
Source: RNAcentral